UGGUGUUCAGUGACUGUCAUUGCAUUUC
Molecule: non-coding RNA, 28 nt
Filed under: Mus musculus (house mouse)
Lineage: Eukaryota; Metazoa; Chordata; Mammalia; Rodentia; Muridae
Source: RNAcentral